AUGAUGCGUUGCGGACGUCAAGGUGAUAUCCACCGGCGACGCUUGCUGGCGCGGGCUCGCCACCGGCAUCCACAAGCUCGCUGAUGCCGUCUCGGUCACUCUCGUUCCAAAGGUGUGUGUUUUUUUUGCUUGCUUCCUUUUGGGUCAUAAAAUUGCUUGUUUUCUCACUAUCGUAACUGCUGUCUUGCAACUGUAAAGUUCUUGCGAAUUUGAUAAUGAAAUUCAAUGUUAUGUGAAUUCUAAAGCUUCCAAUGAAUUGUUUUAGUCUCAUGUACAGUGUACUAGUGGAUAUUGCAAAUGGACUUGACACACUGUUACUUCAGAUAUAGGAUCGCCAAAUGAUGCCCGCUGCCUGCUUGCUCUUCCUUGUUAAAUCUGUUGCCAUUUGUUCAUUGAUAUAGAUGCUUCUCAUGUUGUUGGGAUCACAUAUGCCUGAACAAUUUGUUUUAUUGUCUUGUAGUGCUAUUGAUUGCUGAGAACAUAAAGGUUUGCUGCAGGGAGGAAUGUUGUUAUUGACGAAGAUGAUGUUCCUAAAGUAAUUAACACAAUUAAGCUUGUAAUGUACCCCCGCAAAGUGUGCCUUUAUUUUCUUUAAUCUUUUGAUGGAAUCUAAGUUUGAUCCAGAAAGUUCUGAUUUUUUUGCCAAUAUAUUGGAUGGGGUUGAUGGUACAUGACCUAGCCCUGAUAGAAGAGCACAUCUAUUUGAUGUAGAACUCAGGCAGAGCAUUAGUUCUUUUCUUUCAGUUGAUCAAUUAGCCGUGACACGAUCUUAUCUUUCCCAUGGUCUCACGCAUUUACGCUGCCCACUGUCUUUGUACUGUUUCCAGGAGGCCUCUAGAUUCAGGAAUCUCAUGCCCACUGUUAAGAGUGGCUCACCGCUGCAUCUUAACAAGGAAUGACUCCUACAUCGUCGCAGGGAUGUUUUUAGUAAUGUUGUCAACUAAUUGUUGCUAGAAUGUAACACGUACGACUGAUAUCAAGUUUCUAAUGAAUGAAAUCUUUAAUUUCUAAGAAUGAGGUGGCUAUUUCUUUCUCUGCGAUAUAUUGAGAAGCUUCUUCCCAAUUGGUAAUUUGUAUUUUGUCCUUAAAGUUUCAGCACAUAUGGCUUCUGUGCCUAUAAGAUUAUUUUAGGGAUUUAUUCACGAUAUUUUGUGUUUGCAAGUUCUAUGGUCACCUAGCACCGAAUUAUUAUUUCCCCGUGAACUCAUUAAAUUCCGCUCUUUGGUAACCAGCAAAUAUAUGUGUAACUUUAUGAAAAUUUAAGUCCCAUGUUUUAUGUGUACUGGCAACAACCAUUCUAUUACAAAAAUAGAUGAGCGCGGCAACGCGCGCCUUCCAUGAUCUAGUACUGAUAAUUAUUGACUACAAUUAAGGUGUUGAGGGUCAGUCCCGAGUCUGGUAUAUGCAUUUUUUUAUUUAUGCAGUUGUCCAUCUAAAAUGUUUGAAAGUGUAGCUCUCUUGUGAUAUCAGCUGACGCGAGUGACAUUUGCCAUUACAGAAGAUGAUAAGACUGCUUCGCAGCUUGACGGUCGAAAAGAAGAACUCUGUUCAGGUAUAUAUAUUCGGUAGUAACAUAUAUUGCAGUAUAUAUUUUUACAUCUGUGUUAUUGUCAAAGAGAAUUAGUCAGCUAUUGUGUUGUCAUGAAUAGGCUGACACUGGAUCAAAUAUUCAUUAUCUUGCACCUAUUCUUUAAUUUUGCAGUUAAGUUUGAUGCUUCCUGGUUGUCUAUUGUGUUAUUGCUGUAGAGUUUCUUUCCAUCAUGGAAAGCAUGCUAUGGUUGAGCAAAGCAUGCUAUGAUGCCAACAUCCAAAUGGAUGAAGAUGUAGGAUAUGGAUUUUACAUUAUUGUUGGUAGUCGUGAGCUGUUCUAAAAAUAUGUUUUGACUUCUGCUUGUCUCUUUCUGCUGGGUGUGCAAUGCCUAAUCUUUAAUGCAAAUAUUUGUGUCCAUUAUUUUUAAUCCCUAAUUUUAGUGCAAAUAUCUGUUCUAAAAAUAUGUUUUGACUUCUGCUUGUCUCUUUCAAGGUUUUUAUGUCAAUUACAGUAGUAGUAUGUUUUUUUUGCAUCGAUUACAGUAGUAGUACGAACUAAAACAAAUAGCUGUAUUGUAACUGUUAUGCAGUUUUUGUGCCUUGUUUCUAUUCUUGAUCUGUAUCUUGUAGCUCUUAAAAAUAUGGUUGUUUCUUCUACAGGACCUCCAGGCCUAAGAAAGUUGAAGUGCGAAGCCUUGAAGCCAAUUGUGUGAAGCUCUACUUAUCCAAGAAUGCAUAUUAUAUGUUGUAAUAAUA
This 2286-nucleotide long non-coding RNA is filed under the name Hordeum vulgare. RNAcentral's name for it is "long non-coding RNA (HVUL_LNC018934)". The record is from RNAcentral. Lineage: Eukaryota; Viridiplantae; Streptophyta; Magnoliopsida; Poales; Poaceae.